GUCUUCAAGUAGUCAUGGAUUUCCUACAACAGUCAAAAAUAUGUUAAGCUUACCACAAACAUGAACCAUAUAAGACUUUGCAGCAUACAAAUAAAUCAGGUCUGCAGUUUCUCUAAGAUGGGUUUUCAACUAAACACCUUACAAACUUCUUAACAUAUCUUCCAACUAAAAGAACAUCAUUGGCUUCUCAUAAAUGACUCAUCGAUGCUGACUUAAUCACUUUACAAUUCCAUGGUCACAAGCAAAUCUAAAACUAAAACUGAUCAAACCAAAAUGUAAUGGAAUUCCUCUUCCCAUUUUACACGACUCUCACACUACAAGGUAAGAAUUCAAAUCUACACAAUCCAGCAGAUAUAGAACAAGCUCCGAGUAGAUCACAUAAUUCACUAUUGAGUCUCCUUAUCAAAUUUCUGGUAAGGCUUACACAACCAAGUAAGAAAAUAGUUCUAAACAACCCAAUACAGGAUAAACAUAGACUAGGUUGCAUCAGAGAAAAGCAUCAUAUAAAGCUUGAAAUUAGAGUCUACCCUCCUUCUGAAUCCUCAUUUCUGCUUCAUAAGUAAAUAUCCCAGAAACAGUUACAUCAGACAGAAUGAUCCCACAACGACAUUAACGAAAAAAAAUAAAGCAUACUAGAGAUGUAAAAGUUGAAAAUUUGAAGGAAAAAAAACACUACUUUGAUGCAGAGAUUUCCAGUGC
Arabidopsis thaliana (thale cress) is the source of this 699-nucleotide long non-coding RNA. RefSeq annotates it as other RNA. Lineage: Eukaryota; Viridiplantae; Streptophyta; Magnoliopsida; Brassicales; Brassicaceae. The record is from RefSeq. The transcript has a single exon.